This 253-nucleotide ribosomal RNA is filed under the name uncultured bacterium. Its description in RNAcentral is "partial 16S ribosomal RNA". It matches the Rfam family "Bacterial small subunit ribosomal RNA", at positions 524 to 776 of the family's 1533-position model. The record is from RNAcentral.
UACGGAGGGUGCAAGCGUUAUCCGGAUUCAUUGGGUUUAAAGGGAGCGCAGGCGGGCAUGUAAGUCCGUGGUGAAAUACCUCAGCUUAACUGAGGAACUGCCAUGGAUACUAUAUGUCUUGAAUGUUGUGGAGGUUUGCGGAAUAGGUCAUGUAGCGGUGAAAUGCAUAGAUAUGACGUAGAACACCAAUUGCGAAGGCAGCAGGCUACACAAAUAUUGACGCUGAGGCUCGAAAGCGUGGGGAGCAAACAGG